GGCUUAUUGAUAAUAAUUUUAAGUCUAUCUGCCCAAUGAUUUUUAAAUUUAAUGGCUGCAGUAUAACUAACUGUACAAAGGUAGCAUAAUCAAUUGUUUUUUAAUUGAGAACUAGAAUGAAAGAAUUAAUGAGAUAUAUUCUGUCUCAUAUGUAUAAAAUGAAAUUAAAUUUUUAGUAAAAAUGCUAAAAUUUAUUUAUGGGACGAUAAGACCCUAUAGAAUUUUAUAUUUACAUUUAAAAUUAAAAUAUAUUUUAAAUUUAAAUAUUUGAUUGGGAGGAUUAAUAAAUUUAAAAAACUUUAUUUUAAAUAUAACCUUUAAUUGAAGAAUAAUUUUUGAUCUUUUUUUAGGAAUUAAAAGAAAAAAUUACCUUAGGGAUAACAGCGUAAUAUCUUUUUAAAGAUCAUAUUAAUAAAGAUGAUUGCGACCUCGAUGUUGAAUUAAGAUAAAUUUUAAAUGAAGAAGUUUAAUAAUUAAGUCUGUUCGACUUUUAAAAUCUUACAUGAUUUGAGUUCAAAUCGACGUGAGU
Molecule: ribosomal RNA, 529 nt
Filed under: Bombus incertus
Lineage: Eukaryota; Metazoa; Arthropoda; Insecta; Hymenoptera; Apidae
Description: partial 16S ribosomal RNA
Rfam family: Bacterial large subunit ribosomal RNA (bases 377-529)
Source: RNAcentral